CACACACCAGACAAAAACAAGUAAUCUUAAGAGUUGUUUAAUUAUACGAAAGUGUAAAAAAAAGGCUCUGAGAAAGUGGGUGACAGAAAUGGAGAGAGACAGCAAGCACAGCUCAAGGGGCAGGUCCCCAAGAUAAGCCUGAGAAAAUGAUCGGGUGUGACAGGGAGUGGGCUGGGAGGGCCAGGUGGAGGCCGGCCCCGGGUCCAACCCCCAGGCGCAGCCAUCCCCCAGCAGGCCGGCGGAUAAGGACAUCGGCUUCACGUCAUAAAUAAAGCUGGGGACUCGCUGACAGGCCCUGGCACGGCCUCGGCCCCCACAGCCCCUGCUUGCCUCCCCCCGCACCCUACCCCCGGCCUCCCCAGUCUCCCGGGCGGACGCAGCCGCCUCCUGGCUCCCGCGCAAGAAUCGCAGGUGCUGGGCACGAGCAAGGGCCAAAGCUCCGCGGCUCGGCCCCUCCCGACUGCCUUCACUCCCGCCCAGCCCAGAACCUGGAGGGGCCCGGAUGGGGGCUGGAGAGCUUGCAAGAGCUGGUUCUGACCCUCUCUUCCUCUAGGACUCUCUCCGGGACUCAGUUUCCCCAUUAUCUCAUCCUCACCAAACUGAGCAUCCCGAAUGGGUUACAACGCACUUGGACAAAAUAUACAGUGCCGGGCUUCAGGCCCGCUAGGCGGCAGGAGGUCUGGUUGCUGACGUCAUCCACCACCUGCACGGGGCACAGAGCAGCAACCCUCCAGCUGGGGCUGGAGCUUAGAGGCAGAGGUCUCACUAAACAGGAGUACGCAUCACCCUGCCCCUGUGAGCAUCACCCAGCACCCGUGAGC
Peromyscus eremicus (cactus mouse) is the source of this 821-nucleotide long non-coding RNA. RefSeq lists it as uncharacterized. Lineage: Eukaryota; Metazoa; Chordata; Mammalia; Rodentia; Cricetidae. The transcript has 3 exons. The record is from RefSeq and is a predicted model, not a curated record.